AUGAUUUCUGAGAUGUGGCAUUAUUUCAGUUAUACAUUUUCAAGUAAUUUUUCCAGCACGAUGUACAGAUACAAUUUCAAUCAUUCGCAACAUGAUUCAUAACAGUGAGGUUAGGGGAUCAAUUCAUUAUUGCAUUUUAUGCGAUUAAACUUACUUUUAAAGUGUCUCUGCAUAAAUGUGUGAAAUGGAUGAGAGAGAAAC
Molecule: non-coding RNA, 201 nt
Organism: Pelobates cultripes (western spadefoot toad)
Lineage: Eukaryota; Metazoa; Chordata; Amphibia; Anura; Pelobatidae
Source: the annotation of a GenBank genome assembly